RNAcentral lists this long non-coding RNA (248 nucleotides) under Citrus sinensis (sweet orange). RNAcentral describes it as "long non-coding RNA (CSIN_LNC004883)". The record is from RNAcentral. Lineage: Eukaryota; Viridiplantae; Streptophyta; Magnoliopsida; Sapindales; Rutaceae.
UCAGUCCGAGUGGCCAGGGCUGCUGCCCUCCAAGUUGGAGGGCAGCAGUUCGAACCCCCACAAAAGCAUUGUGGGGGUAUUUCCUUCCUCAAUUAAUUUGAGUGAAGGUAGUCUUCUCCCUUACCCAUGAGUGAGGAAUAGACAUCCCUCGAAUAUUUGUGAGGGUUAAAAUAUGGGCAGAGCUCCAUUAGCAUUGAUGUAUGUUGGUCCCAGUAAUAGUCUGAUUUGUAAAUAUCAGUUAUAGUCUC